Sycon ciliatum is the source of this 1638-nucleotide long non-coding RNA. RefSeq lists it as uncharacterized. The record is from RefSeq and is a predicted model, not a curated record. Lineage: Eukaryota; Metazoa; Porifera; Calcarea; Leucosolenida; Sycettidae. The transcript has 2 exons.
AGUCUUGGUGCUGAAUGGCCUUGCGUACAUCAAAAGUGAACCGACAGGGCUGUGUCACUGUGUGUACAAUCAGUCAUGAUUAUUUCGAGUAUUAAAUAGUAUGCAGUCAAAGAAGGAGCUACUCUAUCCCUGAAUCAACCGAAUGGCCCUAUCAGUCUAUUGCUACAAUUAUAAGAACGGAUUCCUACUAACAUCAUGGAUGCAAUAGAGCAACCAAAGGUUCCCUCGAACCCUGUAAAGGCCACAGUCCAGCGGCAGGACUUAACCAUGGCGGGUAAACCAGCAGAUGUGGUGCAGACAAAGGAACCUGAAUAUCGGGAAGCAGGCCGGCGGAUGCGGUUCCCUUCUGGACCGUGGACGCACGGGUCGGCGUUCAAAGGUCUGGGAUGCGAACUGCUACUGGAUUUAGCUAAUAUAAUCCAGGUGAAAGAUUUCGAAAUGGAAUGUUCCAUUCGCCAUGCGAGUCAGACUACUGCUCGCGGCGGCUCCAGGGUACGAGCGCUGAUGGUCUCCAGGGUGCGAGGGAAGAGCGAUUUCAUAGUACGUGGGAUGAGAUUCACGAAGAAAUGUACAGGCAGCGAACUAUAUUCAGGCCUCCAGGUGCGCGUCGACUACACACUGUUCAACUAGGAAAUCCAGAAGCCGAGAAGCAUUCCAGUUCACCAAGCGCUGAUGUGUAUGGAACUGAGAACAUGGCUUCGAUAUUCUUUAAGAACGCUUUCGACUACAGCACACACUUUGGCACAGUCUAUGACUACAUGAGGGUGGUGUGGACACCUGACUUCGAACCCAGAUAUCACCUCCUUCCACCUUCUGCUGAGUACACGCUCAAGAUUCCUGGAAACGUUGAACUGUCAUUUGGCGCAAUGCAAGAGUUUGUCGACGCGCUUAAGUCUCACUACGUAGGCUGGGAUUAUGUGUCCAACGUUGGAGCGGAGGAGGACCGAGCGGUGCUGAACACGUACGGCAAGAUUGGUUUACGCGGAAAGAAUGGUGAAACAAUUGAACACAUCUACUGCUUCAGGAUCGAAUACAUGUGCCCCGACCUGUGGGUGAAGAAGCGAGUCUGGAGAUGGGAGCUGUCCAGAAUACUGGUAGAAGCUAGACCAUAAUAGUAACCAACACUACAUUCUACAGUUUUCAAUUACCGAGUGGGGAAGUGUGCUGAACAUGACACUGAAUGGUGUGGUUUAGACAACAACUCCUUGCUAUCGGUAACAUCUUAUCUGAGAUGUACAACUAAUGUUGUAUCUUCAAUCGUCACAAACCCACCCAGCUGGAGAAGCUUGUUUCGUUCUCUACAUUGUUUGUAUUCAACGCUUAUUUGCAGCUUCAAACCUACCGCUUUGAAUUUGAAACACCGCUGCGUUCACGGCUUCUCAUAUCUGAUAGAAUACACCUGUUACAUAUCGGCUUAAAAGCCAAAGUCAACUGAAGAAUUUCUAUAUAAAUCCGCCUCUUUCCCUUUCUUAUAGGCUGGAAAGUACUUUUGGUACACUACGGAUUGCUUUAUUUUACGAAACAUAUGUAAAUUGUUUCCUUCCUUAAAAUAAUUAUGUCAUCUCAUUAUGACAUCUAUCACUAUCAGUGUUGCCUGAUGAUUGAGAAAGCAUGAAAUUUAAAGGCAGCAGCAAACAA